GUUUUUACAGUGUGGGUACGCUUCAGGCCGAUGCGUGCGACUCGGAGAGCCGCUCGGUUUUUGUGGAAACAAUCAAGGAGGUGCCAGAUAAUCACGCUCGCAGUUUUCUGGAAAAACUGUUGACUUUUCUGUUCAAGGCGCGGGAGCUGCAUGUUUGCUUUGCGUGUGCUGGUUAUCUGUGGAUGAAUGUGGGUGCAACUCCGAGAAAACACGUUGAGUGCAGAGAGUCAUUAAGGUUCACAUGUCAGCAGGUGUUAAAGCACCUAUACCUCCUUGGCUCGAGCCUCUGGCACCUCAGCUGCUUCACACUACAGUACAAGCGCUGCAGACUUUGCAUCUGGAAACCAUUGCCUCACAAUCUCAUUAUCAAAUUACCAGGCUGCAAACACGCUGCUGUUAGCCUGCUAGCAAGCUGCCGGUGUACACUGGAGAGUGAGAAGCUGGCCGCAUUACUCUGGACUACAAUGUCAGACAAGAUUUGGGCUCUUUACAGUUACAGAGUAUUUUCCAUAUGCAUUAAA
This is a long non-coding RNA of Oreochromis niloticus (Nile tilapia), 521 nucleotides long. RefSeq lists it as uncharacterized. Lineage: Eukaryota; Metazoa; Chordata; Actinopteri; Cichliformes; Cichlidae. The transcript is spliced from 3 exons. The record is from RefSeq and is a predicted model, not a curated record.